Non-coding RNA from Hordeum vulgare subsp. vulgare (domesticated barley), 138 nucleotides. NCBI's taxonomy places the organism in Eukaryota, Viridiplantae, Streptophyta, Magnoliopsida, Poales, Poaceae. The record is from Rfam.
AAUGUACUCCCUCCAUACCAAAAUUCUUGUUUUACAUUUGUCUAGAUAUGAAUGUAUCUAAUCACGUUUUAGUAUUUAGAUACAUCCAUUUCUAAACAAAUCUAAGAAAAAAGAAUUUUGAAACUGAGGGAGUAUAUU